Molecule: transfer RNA, 69 nt
Filed under: Leiopelma hochstetteri
Lineage: Eukaryota; Metazoa; Chordata; Amphibia; Anura; Leiopelmatidae
Description: tRNA-Asp
Source: RNAcentral
AAGGCGUUAAUAAACCCAUUAUACCACCUUGUCAAGGUGGCUUGAUAGGUGAAAACCCUAUACGCCUUA